AACGAACGCUGGCGGCAUGCCUAACACAUGCAAGUCGAACGAGAUCCUUCGGGGUCUAGUGGCGGACGGGUGAGUAACGCGUGGGGACCUGCCCAGGGGUACGGAAUAACUACGGGAAACUGUAGCUAAUACCGUAUGAUGCCGAAAGGCCAAAGAUUUAUCGCCCUUGGAUGGACCCGCGUUGGAUCAGCUAGUUGGUGAGGUAAUGGCUCACCAAGGCGACGAUCCAUAGCUGGUUUGAGAAGAUGAUCAGCCACACUGGGACUGAGACACGGCCCAGACUCCUACGGGAGGCAGCAGUGGGGAAUAUUGGACAAUGGGGGCAACCCUGAUCCAGCAAUGCCGCGUGAGUGAAGAAGGCCUUAGGGUUGUAAAGAUCUUUCAGUGGGGAAGAUAAUGACGGUACCCACAGAAGAAGCCCCGGCUAAACUCCGUGCCAGCAGCCGCGGUAAU
RNAcentral lists this ribosomal RNA (453 nucleotides) under uncultured bacterium. RNAcentral describes it as "bacterial SSU rRNA". It matches the Rfam family "Bacterial small subunit ribosomal RNA", at positions 29 to 524 of the family's 1533-position model. The record is from RNAcentral.